RNAcentral lists this ribosomal RNA (2457 nucleotides) under Triticum aestivum (bread wheat). RNAcentral describes it as "partial small subunit ribosomal RNA". Lineage: Eukaryota; Viridiplantae; Streptophyta; Magnoliopsida; Poales; Poaceae. The record is from RNAcentral.
AUGGAACCAAUUAUACUGGAAGAAUUAAAGGGUGGCGUAUUUUGGGAUUUCUUCAAACUAUGUGUGUUUGGGUCUGGUAGUUUUGAUGAUUAUCCAGAGUUAGAGCCCAUUGGUAAAGACAUACUCCCCAAGUUGAAGGGCUCACCUUUAGCCGCCAAAACUCUUGGACGCAUGUUACAGAGUGACCUUCAUACAUCACACUGGAAGAGAAUACUAGACAGUGAAUUGUGGGCGUUGGACCAAGAGGCAACUGAUAUUGUGCCAGCUCUUCGGUUGAGCUACAUGUAUUUACCGUUCCACCUGAAGAGAUGCUUCUCAUUCUGUGCUGUGUACCCCAAAGACAAAGAGUUUGAAAAGGACAGCUUAGCUGAAAUUUGGGCGGCAGAAGGCUUUGUCAAACGCCAGGAUGUUAUUCCAGUUCAAGAUACUGGAUGUCAAUACUUCAAUGAACUUUUCAAUCGGUCAUUCUUUCAAAAGGUUCAAGGUAAAUACGUAAUCCAUGACUUGUUGCAUGAUAUGGCACAAAAAGUUUCAGAGGAUGAUUGUUUCAUUGUGAAGAAGAAGGGUGACUUUAUAAGAAUUCCUCCAAAUGUCCGCCAUCUGUCUGUACUAUCUAGCAAUGACAUCGACAAUUCUGACUUGUCGAUCCUCUGCCGGUACAAAAAGCUUCGUACCCUUCUUUGCGACAAGCCUUUAGGAAAUAAAAAAACUCCAGCUGCUUUUUUGGAAGAUUGGUGCACUGAACUUCUGCGUAUGCGUGUCAUUGUUUUUGCAACUUUGAAUGAGUUACCAGCUAGCAUUGGCAAAUUGAAGCAUCUUCAGUACCUUAAGAUAUCCAGAGCUUGUUCGGUGACAAGUCUUCCUGGAACGAUCUGUAUGCUCCAUAAUUUACAGGUUUUAUGUGUCAAGAAAUGCAAGCUUGAAAUCUUGCCAAGUGACUUUGGUAUGUUGGUCAACCUAUGGAGAUUGGAAUCGCAGGAAUUCAAAUAUGGCCCGAAUAUAGGAAGACCCAUAGAAAAUUAUGGAGUAAAUCUUCGGUAUGAUAACCAGUUUCAGCUCAUAAAGAACAUGAAGCAACUUCGUGGACAUUUGGUGAUAAGUAAUAUUCACUGGCUAACCAUGAACAUGAAUCAUUCAGCAGAAGCAGAACUACAGAAUAAGGGAUAUCUUGACAAGCUGACGCUGGACUGGGGUUUCCCGGUGAGUCAAUCCACGGAUAAUGAAAACGGGAUAGAAAUCCUUCGACAUCUACAGCCUCCUGCUGGAGUCAAGUCUCUAGUCCUUCGAGGUUACCCAGGUGUUUCUCUUCCUAGCUGGUUUCAGCCACAAUGCCUGCCAGGUUUAACAUCUGCGUCAUUUUCUUCGUGUCGUGGACUCGAGAUACCUACAGUGCCAAUCGACAUCAACAGUAGCAGCAUGGGUUUCUCGUCCCUGACAGAGCUAAUAAUUAAUGGGUGCGACCGUUUAUCAAGUCUCGAACAGCUUCUAGAUCCGACUUAUCUACCAGUCAUCAAAAAAAUUGCAAUAAUGCACUGCGAGGACAUAAUAUCAGUACCCACCGAAAGAUUUGGGGAAUUUUGUUUCCUUGAAAUAUUCAGGAUGAAGGAAUGUACAAAAAUAAACUCCCAAAGUUUGGUUGCGCCCUCCCUCGAGAAGCUCAUUCUAGGCGACAAGGAUAUAUGGUGGCGUAAUAAUGAUUGCGGGGAACUCACUGACAAUAUCCAAUGCUGCUCUCUCACCUAUUUUUCCUUGUCAAGGCUCGGCCUGACAUCCAUCCAACUACAAAUGUGGAAUCUGCCGGCUCUACGGGAAUUGCACAUUUCGAAUUGUACAUAUCUUGCAUCUAUUGGAAAACCUGGACAUGUCUUCGCCAACCUUACUCUCCUAACCAUCAGCGACUGCAAUGAACUGUCAACCACUGAUGGUCUCCUAGAAGAAGAAUAUCUACCUGCCAUUGAGAGUAUUACAAUUAAAAAUUGUCAGACGUUAUCUCGCAUGACCAUGCAUGGUAGAAGGUUCGGGCUUUUUUCUUCUCUGAAGGAUUUGGAAGUUUCUCGGUGCCCUACAAUCAACUGGGGGGGAUUCGUGUUACCAUCGUCCCUCCAAAGUCUCCACCUGGAACAAUGCGGGAAUAUCUCUUCAUUUUUUCCUAGCGGCCUAGAAAACCUUCAAUCCCUUGUUUCACUCAAUAUAUCGGUGUGCUCUCGUGUAAGAUCCAUUCCAGGCCACCUUUGGAGGAGUACCCUCUCAUCACUCCAGAAAUUACAGAUUCUGAAGUGUCAAGACCUUGUCUCCAUUGGCGAAGCAGAUGACAUUGCAGAAUUACAAAAUGUGUUCAUUGAUAAGUGUAAAAAAUUGAAGGGAAUAGACCAGCCUAUGAAAACAGGCAGCUUCUUGAUAUCCAAGAAGCAAAAGCAGCCUGUGAAAACAAGCUCAAAUUCUGUCUGGUGCCCGUGA